AUAUCUGCCUUUCUCGAUAUCUCUUUCUCCUUACAGCUGAUUAAAAGCAGAGAGAGCAAACCAAUCCCGGCAUCAAUCUGGUAUUUUGGCAUCUGGGAUGACGCUUACAGCUAAUAACUUGUAUGGGUUGACAUCAAAACCACGAAAAAUAUCUGGUUUGGGCUCCUUGAUCUUACUCUGAAGAAGAAGAAGAAGAAGAAGAAUCACCCAGACACACACUGAGAAAGUUUUGAGUUUGCUUUGCUGCCAUUUGUGGAUGCAUGUCAAUGUCAUCUUCUUCGAAACCAAGCAUCAAUUCGAUCUGAAUUGGAUCCUUCUGCUGCCCUUCCUUUAUACCUUGAUGAAAUCUUUCACCCUGUUGUUGCCGUUUUGCUGUCUGUAACAUUUGCUCUAAUCUUCAGAGUGGUAUGUUGCCUACUCGAUUUAUCUUAAGAUCAUUGAGAAUUUGAGAUGCAAUGGGAUAUUGGGAUUGCGAUUGACUUGUGACCUGCCAUUCACAAGCUAUAUGCUCAAGAUAUGUAUGGGCUUUCUGUUGGCUUGUUCGCAUUCUGAUGUAGUUUUGGUGAAUUAUGUUAUGUUGGGUAUUUAUGGGAUUCGGGGUUUGGUUAUGUUUGAUUAUUAUUGGGUUUUGAUGCUCUUCUUGAAAUCUCAUGUUUGGUUGCUGGGAAAUUGAAGCAGGACAAGAAGAGAGAAGAAAAUGCAGUGAACCCUUUUUGAUUGUUAGUUUGAGUUUAUUAUGCAAGUCUAUUGGCUUUACUGUUAUUUCUUAUAUAUGUUGCUUGAAGAUUAUUAGUUUGAUUAUUGAGUUGGUAGUGCUAUAGGACUUUUAGACUGCCGUGCUGAUGAGUUUAGGAAUUGACAGGAGAGGAAUACCAGUUUGAAGAAUUUGUGCAGGUGGAUUCCGAACUUUGCUCCCCAGAAGCAGGAGGUCCAAAACAUCACAGCGCACUCCCACUGGUACUGCAUUGCUCAGACUUGUUUGGUUUGCAAUAGCGAUCCUAAGCUUGAUGUCAACUAUUCUGUAAGUAAGCUUUAAAUUUGUCAAUGACAAAUGAUUACUGAGAAAAGUGUUAAUAAAGAAAGACAAAUAUAUAUAAUCACACUUGUCCACCUACACUUGCGCACAUAAUCAAGCAGAAUGUGUAAGUAGAUCACAUUAUAUGCUGGAAGAAUUUACAUGACCUAAAAAUCUGGACUUUAAGUGGGUUAUUUUAUUCUAUUUGAUGUGCUACUGCUGGUCUUUGCAUAUUCUUCUCUCUCUUAUUUGCUUAUGCGCAAUGGCCCUCGAUUCCUGCACGCACCACAAACAUCCUCUUCUUGUGCUCGAUUCGAUACCGGCCGUGGAAAACUGAAGUUAUCUUGAAGAAAGUAGUCAUUGCACUUGGCAAGAGUGUAGCUGGAAGUAUCAAAGAAUAAGUUCAGAGUAUGGCAUAGGAAUGGAGGUGUCAACAAGUGGUGACAUCUAUAGCUAUGAAAUCCUGCUAUUUGAGAUGCUGAUAGGCAAGAGAUUGAUAUAUGACGUGUUUAAAGACGGCCUGAACUUGCAUAAAUUUGUCAAAUAAGGCUUUGGCCUCCUUAUCCUAUUGGAUGGUGAUCAGAGCUGAGUCUUCUAGCCAUCCCAGCCAGCUUUUGAGCAAGCAGCACUUGGAGCCUAUUAUUGAAGAGGAGCUUUUGAACGAGCACAUGGACACUAUUGAAGAGGACAUGUAGAACAAGAAACUUUGAACUAUGUCAUUUUUUUUUUGUUUACUGAUAAUCUGAUAUUAGUGUGCUUUGUUUAGUGUACGACUGGCUUUGAUUAACCAACAAGAUGCUACCAGUCUACUUUGUUCUUGGGAUUUUAUGAUCUGUACCUAAAAUUAUGCCUGACCGA
Molecule: long non-coding RNA, 1873 nt
Organism: Rosa rugosa (rugosa rose)
Lineage: Eukaryota; Viridiplantae; Streptophyta; Magnoliopsida; Rosales; Rosaceae
Exons: 6
Source: RefSeq, a predicted model, not a curated record